GACGAACGCUGGCGGCGUGCCUAAUACAUGCAAGUAGAACGCACAGUUUAUACCGUAGCUUGCUACACCAUAGACUGUGAGUUGCGAACGGGUGAGUAACGCGUAGGUAACCUGCCUGGUAGCGGGGGAUAACUAUUGGAAACGAUAGCUAAUACCGCAUAAUAUUAAUUAUUGCAUGAUAAUUAAUUGAAAGUUGCAAUUGCACCACUACCAGAUGGACCUGCGUUGUAUUAGCUAGUAGGUGAGGUAACGGCUCACCUAGGCGACGAUACAUAGCCCACCGGAGAUGGUGAUCGGCCGCACUGGGAGUGAGACACGGCCCAGAGGCAUACAGGAGGCAGCAGUAGGGAAUCGGCGGCAAGGGACGAAAGUCUGACCGAGCAACGCCGCGGGAGUGAGGAAGGUUUUCGGAUCGUAAAGCUCUGUUGUAAGAGAAGAACGGGUGUGAGAGUGGAAAGUUCACACUGUGACGGUAUCGGACCAGAAAGGAACGGCUAACUACGUG
This 505-nucleotide ribosomal RNA is filed under the name uncultured bacterium. RNAcentral's name for it is "partial 16S ribosomal RNA". It matches the Rfam family "Bacterial small subunit ribosomal RNA", at positions 28 to 507 of the family's 1533-position model. The record is from RNAcentral.